AAAUACUGAAUGCAUACGAAAGGCAUGCUUAGCAAAGCUGUAAAAUUCUACGUCAGAAUCGGCCCCUAUGUGUUUUAUGCACUGGUUGGCCUUUUGUGUUUUGAAUAUAUAAUUACUUAGACAGAGCUUAGCUUAGAAUGCUAAUUCAACUGUAUUUACACCUGAGUUCUCACUAGACCACUUCUGUCUGAAGGAUCAGACCUCAUCAUACUACACAGUGCAGAUCCAGUCAUACUCUACACAGACCCAGUUAUUCUCUACAAAUACAGCUGUCUUUCCAGUGAGGAUGAUCAGGCCUCACCAGGAAGUCAGAACAGAGGUCAGAGGUCAAUCAUCCCCAUUAAUCUGAAGGAUCAGACCCCAUCAAACUACACAGAACAGAUCCAGUCAUACUCUUCACACAAAGAACACCAUCAUACUCUACACAGGCAAGACCCAUUUAUACUUCAAACAAACCACAGCAGGACACCAACCCAUCAUCUUUCCUCUGUCUCUCCCGACCCUGCUGUCACCAUGGACAUGACACAUCUGCUACUCCUACUCUGUGCCGGU
This 552-nucleotide long non-coding RNA is filed under the name Salmo salar (Atlantic salmon). Its description in RNAcentral is "lncRNA (ENSSSAG00000082666.1)". Lineage: Eukaryota; Metazoa; Chordata; Actinopteri; Salmoniformes; Salmonidae. The record is from RNAcentral.